Molecule: ribosomal RNA, 248 nt
Filed under: uncultured bacterium
Lineage: Bacteria
Description: partial 16S ribosomal RNA
Rfam family: Bacterial small subunit ribosomal RNA
Source: RNAcentral
UACGUAGGGGGCUAGCGUUGUCCGGAAUCAUUGGGCGUAAAGAGCGUGUAGGCGGCUCGGUAAGUCCGCUGUGAAAGUCCAGGGCUCAACCCUGGAAUGCCAGUGGAAACUGUCGAGCUAGAGUCCGGAAGAGGCGAGUGGAAUUCCUGGUGUAGCGGUGAAAUGCGCAGAUAUCAGGAGGAACACCAAUGGCGAAGGCAGCUCGCUGGGACGGUACUGACGCUGAGACGCGAAAGCGUGGGGAGCAA